This 466-nucleotide ribosomal RNA is filed under the name uncultured bacterium. RNAcentral describes it as "bacterial SSU rRNA". It matches the Rfam family "Bacterial small subunit ribosomal RNA", at positions 328 to 792 of the family's 1533-position model. The record is from RNAcentral.
UCCCCAGACUCCUACGGGAGGCAGCAGUGAGGAAUAUUGGUCAAUGGGCUUACGCCUGAACCAGCCAAGUCGCGUGAGGGAAGACGGCCCUAUGGGUUGUAAACCUCUUUUGUCGGAGAACAAAACCCGGGACGUGUCCCGGACUGCGUGUAUCCGAAGAAAAAGCAUCGGCUAACUCCGUGCCAGCAGCCGCGGUAAUACGGAGGAUGCGAGCGUUAUCCGGAUUUAUUGGGUUUAAAGGGUGCGUAGGCGGGAUGCCAAGUCAGCGGUAAAAAUGCGGUGCUCAACGCCGUCGAGCCGUUGAAACUGGCGUUCUUGAGUGGGCGAGAAGUAUGCGGAAUGCGUGGUGUAGCGGUGAAAUGCAUAGAUAUCACGCAGAACUCCGAUUGCGAAGGCAGCAUACCGGCGCCCUACUGACGCUGAGGCACGAAAGCGUGGGUAUCGAACAGGAUUAGAUACCCGAGUA